Molecule: ribosomal RNA, 723 nt
Filed under: Microbacterium maritypicum
Lineage: Bacteria; Bacillati; Actinomycetota; Actinomycetes; Micrococcales; Microbacteriaceae
Description: bacterial SSU rRNA
Rfam family: Bacterial small subunit ribosomal RNA
Source: RNAcentral
CACGUGAGCAACCUGCCCCUGACUCUGGGAUAAGCGCUGGAAACGGCGUCUAAUACUGGAUAUGUGACGUGACCGCAUGGUCUGCGUCUGGAAAGAAUUUCGGUUGGGGAUGGGCUCGCGGCCUAUCAGCUUGUUGGUGAGGUAAUGGCUCACCAAGGCGUCGACGGGUAGCCGGCCUGAGAGGGUGACCGGCCACACUGGGACUGAGACACGGCCCAGACUCCUACGGGAGGCAGCAGUGGGGAAUAUUGCACAAUGGGCGCAAGCCUGAUGCAGCAACGCCGCGUGAGGGACGACGGCCUUCGGGUUGUAAACCUCUUUUAGCAGGGAAGAAGCGAAAGUGACGGUACCUGCAGAAAAAGCGCCGGCUAACUACGUGCCAGCAGCCGCGGUAAUACGUAGGGCGCAAGCGUUAUCCGGAAUUAUUGGGCGUAAAGAGCUCGUAGGCGGUUUGUCGCGUCUGCUGUGAAAUCCGGAGGCUCAACCUCCGGCCUGCAGUGGGUACGGGCAGACUAGAGUGCGGUAGGGGAGAUUGGAAUUCCUGGUGUAGCGGUGGAAUGCGCAGAUAUCAUGAGGAACACCGAUGGCGAAGGCAGAUCUCUGGGCCGUAACUGACGCUGAGGAGCGAAAGGGUGGGGAGCAAACAGGCUUAGAUACCCUGGUAGUCCACCCCGUAAACGUUGGGAACUAGUUGUGGGGUCCAUUCCACGGAUUCCGUGACGC